Long non-coding RNA from Tarenaya hassleriana, 1530 nucleotides. RefSeq lists it as uncharacterized. The record is from RefSeq and is a predicted model, not a curated record. Lineage: Eukaryota; Viridiplantae; Streptophyta; Magnoliopsida; Brassicales; Cleomaceae. The transcript is spliced from 3 exons.
AUUUACUCGUACAGCGGUCAAGUCGUGAAAAUUCUGCCGAAUCUGUAGUUCAAAGUUCAAACUGUUGCAGAAGAAGAGCUUGUUCUGGUCAGUGGAAAGAGGAAAUUGGGUUUUGAUUGGAUCAGGUUGAUGGUUUCCUCUUCCUUUGCAAUGUCGGAUUCCGUAUUUGAUCCUUUGUUCGAACCGUGAUGCACUUACUAUGGUCGCUGUUCGUUUGGAAACUGAGAUAGUUCAAGUUGAUGUCCGAAUAAAUUGGGAUUCUUCCUGAGAUAGUUGAUUAGUUCUUCUAAUCACAGGCAUUGUUACAUGGGAAGUGUAUAUAGUGAUCUGUUUCUGUAUUAGGGUUUUUUUUGGAUUUUGGGACGAAUCAGAGUGUUUACAUGCAUAGGUUCCCUCCUAAUCACAGGCGAUAAUAGCAUUGUUCAUCCUUAGGUAUCUUACUUGGCUUAUGAAGUUGCUGACAUUUUUGUGUUUUUAAUUUGUUGGGUUGGAGAGUUGUUUGAUGAUUCUGAAAUGGCUGAAACCACACACUAGCUCGUUCGUUGGAGACACAUCGGAUUCAUGAACUAGAUUAUCAUGAUGAUCAUACUUUCUCAUGUGCUACUACUAGAUAAUGUAUGUAUGUAUGUAUAUAUAUAUGUGUGUGUGUGUGUGUGUGUGUGUUCUGGUUCAAUUUUUCGGUUCUUGAUUCUCUUGUCUUGAUGAUUUAAGAUAUGCAAACGACAUUUGCUGUUUUGAAUGGUUGAAGCCAUGAAUGGUCUGGCUGACAUCCUCGGAAUUGGAUUCUCUUAAAGAUCGCUAGCCUUUGGUUUCAUGAUAUUGGAGUUCUAGAGGGUAUUGUUGUUAUCGAAAAUCCAUGGAUUAGGACAUCGGCUAGCUGAAAUUCCAACAGAGGUGAAUCCUCAAUGUGCAAGAGGACCAUCUCUUAGGAGACUUGUUCCUCUAGUAGAAGAAAUUCACAUACACACAAUUGAAUUGAGUAGGGGAAGGGGAAGGGGAAGGGGAAGGGAAAGGGAAGAGCAAAGAUCUCUCUACCUUACUGCAAACUCCUUUCAUAUUAUUAAAUUGGUAAUUUUGGCUUUUGAUGUUCUUCAUUUCUGGUUAUCACAAUUCAUUUGCAUGAUCAUAUGCUACAAGUAAACUCGGCCGGUCCAACAACAUUACACCGCAACCGAGUAGGAUGAGGUUUUCAUUUUGGCAAACAAAGAGGAAGAUGGUGUAGCUAUGAGCCAUUGUCUGUUCAAUGACAAGAAGGAGGGUUUGCUUUUGGGAAACCGACAUGAUGAUCCACUUCAUGAUUCAUGCUUUGACACAUUAGGAAUCUUUAGGCUUUUACACACACAAAAAAAAAACAAAAACAAAAGCAAGUGAAGAAACACCAUUUGGUGAUUCACUUAUACCUUUAAGGUUAAAAAAGAGGGAGGAGUCUUAUUUUUUUUAUCGGUUAAGUUCGGUUCGGUUUAGUUAACAAAAAGACUUGUAUAAAUAGUCGUUCCUACCAAACCAAAUUGAAAUUUGUUUUACAUUUUA